RNAcentral lists this ribosomal RNA (659 nucleotides) under Staphylococcus sp. C-12. RNAcentral describes it as "bacterial SSU rRNA". It matches the Rfam family "Bacterial small subunit ribosomal RNA", at positions 8 to 649 of the family's 1533-position model. Lineage: Bacteria; Bacillati; Bacillota; Bacilli; Caryophanales; Staphylococcaceae. The record is from RNAcentral.
AGAGUUUGAUCCUGGCUCAGGAUGAACGCUGGCGGCGUGCCUAAUACAUGCAAGUCGAGCGAACAGACGAGGAGCUUGCUCCUCUGACGUUAGCGGCGGACGGGUGAGUAACACGUGGAUAACCUACCUAUAAGACUGGGAUAACUUCGGGAAACCGGAGCUAAUACCGGAUAAUAUAUUGAACCGCAUGGUUCAAUAGUGAAAGACGGUUUUGCUGUCACUUAUAGAUGGAUCCGCGCCGCAUUAGCUAGUUGGUAAGGUAACGGCUUACCAAGGCAACGAUGCGUAGCCGACCUGAGAGGGUGAUCGGCCACACUGGAACUGAGACACGGUCCAGACUCCUACGGGAGGCAGCAGUAGGGAAUCUUCCGCAAUGGGCGAAAGCCUGACGGAGCAACGCCGCGUGAGUGAUGAAGGUCUUCGGAUCGUAAAACUCUGUUAUUAGGGAAGAACAAAUGUGUAAGUAACUAUGCACGUCUUGACGGUACCUAAUCAGAGAGCCACGGCUAACUACGUGCCAGCAGCCGCGGUAAUACGUAGGUGGCAAGCGUUAUCCGGAAUUAUUGGGCGUAACGCGCGCGUAGGCGGUUUUUUAAGUCUGAUCUGAAAGCCCACGGCUCAACCGUGGAGGGUCAUUGGAAACUGGAAAACUUGAGUGC